This 532-nucleotide ribosomal RNA is filed under the name uncultured bacterium. RNAcentral describes it as "bacterial SSU rRNA". It matches the Rfam family "Bacterial small subunit ribosomal RNA", at positions 977 to 1509 of the family's 1533-position model. The record is from RNAcentral.
GGCCUUGACAUACUAAGAACUUUCCAGAGAUGGAUUGGUGCCUUCGGGAACUUAGAUACAGGUGCUGCAUGGCUGUCGUCAGCUCGUGUCGUGAGAUGUUGGGUUAAGUCCCGNAACGAGCGCAACCCUUUUCCUAUUUGCCAGCGGGUCAUGCCGGGAACUUUAAGGAUACUGCCAGUGACGAACUGGAGGAAGGCGGGGACGACGUCAAGUCAUCAUGGCCCUUACGGCCAGGGCUACACACGUGCUACAAUGGUCGGUACAAAGGGUUGCUACCUCGCGAGAGGAUGCUAAUCUCAAAAAGCCGAUCGUAGUCCGGAUCGCAGUCUGCAACUCGACUGCGUGAAGUCGGAAUCGCUAGUAAUCGCGGAUCAGAAUGCCGCGGUGAAUACGUUCCCGGGCCUUGUACACACCGCCCGUCACACCAUGGGAGUUUGUUGCACCAGAAGUAGGUAGUCUAACCGCAAGGAGGACGCUUACCACGGUGUGGCCGAUGACUGGGGUGAAGUCGUAACAAGGUAAGCGUAGAUGA